AACUUUCAACAACGGAUCUCUUGGUUCUGGCAUCGAUGAGAACGCAGCA
RNAcentral lists this ribosomal RNA (49 nucleotides) under uncultured Helotiales. RNAcentral describes it as "partial 5.8S ribosomal RNA". It matches the Rfam family "5.8S ribosomal RNA", at positions 1 to 50 of the family's 154-position model. From Rfam's summary of the family: 5.8S ribosomal RNA (5.8S rRNA) is a component of the large subunit of the eukaryotic ribosome. The record is from RNAcentral. Lineage: Eukaryota; Fungi; Ascomycota; Leotiomycetes; Helotiales.